This 71-nucleotide transfer RNA is filed under the name Chelonia mydas (Green sea turtle). It matches the Rfam family "tRNA". Rfam says of the family: Transfer RNA (tRNA) molecules are approximately 80 nucleotides in length. Their secondary structure includes four short double-helical elements and three loops (D, anti-codon, and T loops). Further hydrogen bonds mediate the characteristic L-shaped molecular structure. tRNAs have two regions of fundamental functional importance: the anti-codon, which is responsible for specific mRNA codon recognition, and the 3' end, to which the tRNAs corresponding amino acid is attached (by aminoacyl-tRNA synthetases). tRNAs cope with the degeneracy of the genetic code in two manners: having more than one tRNA (with a specific anti-codon) for a particular amino acid; and 'wobble' base-pairing, i.e. permitting non-standard base-pairing at the 3rd anti-codon position. The record is from Rfam by way of RNAcentral. Lineage: Eukaryota; Metazoa; Chordata; Testudines; Cheloniidae.
GGAAGUGUGGUUAAAUGGUUAAGCACAGCUCUAGGAGUCUGGAGGUCUGGGCUCUAUUCCUAGCACUGCCA